RNAcentral lists this ribosomal RNA (498 nucleotides) under uncultured bacterium. RNAcentral describes it as "partial 16S ribosomal RNA". It matches the Rfam family "Bacterial small subunit ribosomal RNA", at positions 30 to 523 of the family's 1533-position model. The record is from RNAcentral.
AUUGAACGCUGGCGGCAUGCCUUACACAUGCAAGCCGAACGGUAACAGGUCUUCGGAUGCUGACGAGUGGCGAACGGGUGAGUAAUACAUCGGAACGUGCCUAGUAGUGGGGGAUAACUACUCGAAAGAGUGGCUAAUACCGCAUGAGAUCUACGGAUGAAAGCAGGGGAUCGCAAGGCCUUGUGCUACUAGAGCGGCCGAUGGCAGAUUAGGUAGUUGGUGGGAUAAAAGCUUACCAAGCCGACGAUCUGUAGCUGGUCUGAGAGGACGAUCAGCCACACUGGGACUGAGACACGGCCCAGACUCCUACGGGAGGCAGCAGUGGGGAAUUUUGGACAAUGGGCGAAAGCCUGAUUCAGCAAUGCCGCGUGCAGGAUGAAGGCCUUCGGGUUGUAAACUGCUUUUGUACGGAACGAAAAGCCCUGGGUUAAUACCCUGGGGUCAUGACGGUACCGUAAGAAUAAGCACCGGCUAACUACGUGCCAGCAGCCGCCGCAG